Larimichthys crocea (large yellow croaker) is the source of this 436-nucleotide long non-coding RNA. RefSeq lists it as uncharacterized. The transcript has 4 exons. NCBI's taxonomy places the organism in Eukaryota, Metazoa, Chordata, Actinopteri, Sciaenidae. The record is from RefSeq and is a predicted model, not a curated record.
GUGUGUGUGUGUGUGUGUGUGUGUGUGUGUGUGUGUGUGUGUUUCAGGCUGUUGGCACACAGAGUCCUCCACCAGCCUGCAGCCCUGAUGAGGUGUCUCAUGGAUACGUCACCAUCAGGCCUGGUGUGACGACUCAUUAUGUUGAGAUGGGCUCAGGUCCACCAGUUCUGCUGUGUCACGGCUUCCCUGAGAGCUGGUACUCCUGGAGGUAUCAGAUUCCAGCUGUGGCAGCAGCUGGGUUCAGGGUGUUGGCUCUGGACAUGAAGGGCUAUGGAGAGUCCACAGCGCCCCCAGACAUACAGGAAUAUUCUCAGGAGCAGCUUUGCAAGGUACAAACUCACCAACACACUCAUGGAAUCAUUUUUAAACACAGGCGUGUGGCGUCAGCGUUUCAAGCUUUUACAAAAAGACAUUUUUACGAUACUACUUUAACUGA